UGCACGGGAUCCCGGAGGGAACCCCGCUUAUUCCCCGGGCGAGAAAAGCACGGGCCCGAUCGAGCCGGGGAAAUCAAGCGCGAUGUUUGGACAGAUUCGUUGGGGAGGUAUCCCUGCCCUACCCGCGUCGUUUCCCUGGGGAAACGUUCCACGCCUCCAGGGGUCGGGGAGAGAAGCCACGGCUCGAGCGAGACCGCGAGCGCAGCGACCGAAAGGCGACGACGGCCAAGAUCCAGUCCUUCGCCUCCGAGUUUCUCCGGCAGCGACCGGAAAGACGGACCGCCCCCUCCCUCCGGUGCUCCGCCUGCAUGCUCCGCCCACCAGCGACCGCGACGGCCGUGGUCGUCACCCUCCUCCUUCCCCAGAUCUACCCUCCUCCUCGAAGUUCCUGCCCCUCCGGUGACGGCAACGGCGACGGUUCCACGGUCAACUUCCACCUACUUCCACUAAGAGGCUGUCUAGGUGCUGUUUUGGUGUUUCCCGUGGUGCACAUGUGUGCUGCCUUUCCUACAGUGCUCUGAACCUCUGACAUUAGCAAAUGAUUUGCUUUAUCCGAAAAUGCUAGGUGGUGGCGGCGGCGUUGUGUUCAGUGGCUAAGUGCAUUUUGGUUCGUUGGUCAUUGAAAAUAUUUCACCUGAUGAAAGGGUCUUGCUUAAGCAAGAGAAAGUACUGCCAAGUAUCAACUAGCUAGUUACAGAUUCACUCAUCAGGGAAGUAACUUGUAACAGCAGUGGAGUGCGGGCAUGUGCCAUAUAUCUAUUAGUAAUUUAGUACUUUCAUCGUGCUUGUGCUAGCUCCAGGUUUGAAUCUUCCUUAGCACACUAUUUUUAGAAGUGAUGCUUACUGUUGGUUAGGGUCUUCUGAAGAACAAUAACAAUUUUUUAUAUUUGUUGCACAAGUUCUGCUAUGCAUUCAUUUACACUUACGACACUGCCGGAGAAUACAUUGUUUGUGAAUUGUUUGUUAGACUGCCUUACAUCCUUUUAUAGAUAGACGCCUUUAAUUCUCUGCACUAAAAAGUCCAUGUUUGUUUUGUCCUUACUUUCCCCAUUAUACAUUUUUUGUCCCCAUUUUUACUAAUUUUGGAAUUAUAUAUUGACGGGAAGCUUGACAAUAAUGAUCUAUUGCUUAUCAUCUUCCUUUCUUCUGUCCUUACUUAUUUAGUAAUUAUUACUGAAAUGUAUGACACAAUAACCAGAAAUAGAAGUUAGUAUUCUGGCUCUUAUCUUUUUUUCUCAACAAGUUCUGCUGAUUGUUAUUAAAAAUCUAAGCUAUAGUCAUCAUGUGCUCAUGUAAUUGUUACAAUUCUCAGUUGGAUACAUGGUGCUAACUUCCUUUUUUUGUAGUUCAACGAACAUCGAGUUGUGGUACCUGAUGUAGAUGCGGAGUGGAGAAAAGACCUGAGUAGGACUAUUGAUUUUCACCUUGCAGCCCAUCCUAUUCGAAAGUGUCUAUGCCUCGGACAUGACAAUUUGAUAAUUCAGAAUUUUUGUAGUGAACAAACUUAAACAAUGAUGCAUCAAUGCCAAUUGUAUUGAUUGCUUUUAUGUUGGAACACAAAAAAAGGUUUAGCUCACCGCUUAAUCGGAAUGAAAUGCGGACCGAUGGGUAUUUGAACCUUGGUGAAGUGAUGGAUAUCAGUUGUAUUUUUUAAUAAAAUUAUAGUUUACAUGAA
Molecule: long non-coding RNA, 1675 nt
Organism: Triticum urartu
Lineage: Eukaryota; Viridiplantae; Streptophyta; Magnoliopsida; Poales; Poaceae
Source: RefSeq, a predicted model, not a curated record